UUCGGGUUAGUGGCGGACGGGUGAGUAACGCGUGAGAAUCUGCCCUCAGGAGGGGGAUAACAGCUGGAAACGGCUGCUAAUACCCCAUAUGCCGCGAGGUGAAAUGAAUUUCGCCUGAGGAUGAGCUCGCGUCUGAUUAGCUAGUUGGUGUAGGUAAUGGCUCACCAAGGCAUCGAUCAGUAGCUGGUCUGAGAGGAUGAUCAGCCACACUGGGACUGAGACACGGCCCAGACUCCUACGGGAGGCAGCAGUGGGGAAUUUUCCGCAAUGGGCGAAAGCCUGACGGAGCAACGCCGCGUGAGGGAUGAAGGCCUCUGGGCUGUAAACCUCUUUUAUCAAGGAAGAAGAUCUGACGGUACUUGAUGAAUAAGCCACGGCUAAUUCCGUGCCAGCAGCCGCGGUAAUACGGGAGUGGCAAGCGUUAUCCGGAAUUAUUGGGCGUAAAGCGUCCGCAGGCGGCCCUACAAGUCUGCUGUUAAAAAGUGGAGCUUAACUC
Molecule: ribosomal RNA, 496 nt
Filed under: uncultured cyanobacterium
Lineage: Bacteria; Bacillati; Cyanobacteriota
Description: bacterial SSU rRNA
Rfam family: Bacterial small subunit ribosomal RNA
Source: RNAcentral